UCGAGGAUCUUCCGCAAUGGGCGAAAGCCUGACGGAGCGACACCGCGUGCAGGAUGAAGGCCUUCGGGUUGUAAACUGCUGUCACGCACUAGGAAUCCCCUGCGGUGAAUAGCCGCAGGGUUGACUAAAGCGAGAGGAAGCACCGGCUAACUCUGUGCCAGCAGCCGCGGUAAGACAGAGGGUGCAAACGUUGUUCGGAAUCACUGGGCAUAAAGCGCACGUAGGCCGUCCACUAAGUCGAAUGUGAAAUACCCCGGCUCAACCGGGGAACUGCAUCCGAUACUGGUGGACUCGAGGAUGGUUGGGGUGAGUGGAACUCCAGGUGGAGCGGUGAAAUGCGUAGAUAUCUGGAGGAACACCGGUGGCGAAAGCGGCUCACUGGACCAUCUCUGACGCUGAGGUGCGAAAGCUAGGGGAGCAAACGGGAUUAGAUACCCUCGUAGUCCCUGAGCGGGCUGGCAAGGCGCAU
This 469-nucleotide ribosomal RNA is filed under the name uncultured bacterium. Its description in RNAcentral is "bacterial SSU rRNA". It matches the Rfam family "Bacterial small subunit ribosomal RNA", at positions 355 to 825 of the family's 1533-position model. The record is from RNAcentral.